This 240-nucleotide unclassified non-coding RNA is filed under the name soil metagenome. RNAcentral describes it as "partial contains 5.8S ribosomal RNA, internal transcribed spacer 2, and large subunit ribosomal RNA". The record is from RNAcentral.
AACGAGGCCGACCUGCGGCUGAGUUACCUGCGGAAGGAUCAUUAUAGAGUUUUCUAAACUCCCAAACCCAUGUGAACUUACCAUUGUUGCCUCGGCAGAACCUACCCGGUACCUACCCUGGAACUAGCUACCCUGUAGCUACCCAGGAACGGGCUACCCUGUAACGUCCUGCCGGUGGACUUCUAAACUCUUGUUAUUUAUAGUAAUCUGAGCGUCUUAUUUUAAUAAGUCAAAACUUUC